GAUGAACGCUAGCGGCAGGCCUAACACAUGCAAGUCGAGGGAGAAGCCCUUCGGGGCGGAAACCGGCGCACGGGUGCGUAACGCGUAUGCAACCUACCUUUCACAGGGGGAUAGCCCGAAGAAAUUUGGAUUAAUACCCCAUAAUAUUGUUGGAUGGCAUCAUUUGGCAAUUAAAACUGAGGUGGUGAAAGAUGGGCAUGCGUCCUAUUAGCUAGUUGGAGUGGUAACGGCACCCCAAGGCUACGAUAGGUAGGGGUCCUGAGAGGGAGAUCCCCCACACUGGUACUGAGACAGGGACCAGACUCCUACGGGAGGCAGCAGUGAGGAAUAUUGGUCAAUGGUCGGAAGACUGAACCAGCCAUGCCGCGUGCAGGAAGAAUGCCUUAUNGGUUGUAAACUGCUUUUAUAUGGGAAGAAUAAGGUGUACGUGUACAUNGANGACGNUNC
RNAcentral lists this ribosomal RNA (447 nucleotides) under uncultured bacterium. RNAcentral's name for it is "bacterial SSU rRNA". It matches the Rfam family "Bacterial small subunit ribosomal RNA", at positions 28 to 478 of the family's 1533-position model. The record is from RNAcentral.